This 252-nucleotide ribosomal RNA is filed under the name uncultured bacterium. RNAcentral describes it as "partial 16S ribosomal RNA". It matches the Rfam family "Bacterial small subunit ribosomal RNA", at positions 524 to 776 of the family's 1533-position model. The record is from RNAcentral.
UACGUAGGGUGCAAGCGUUAAUCGGAAUUACUGGGCGUAAAGCGUGCGCAGGCGGUUCGCUAAGACAGAUGUGAAAUCCCCGGGCUCAACCUGGGAACUGCAUUUGUGACUGCAUAGCUAGAGUACGGUAGAGGGGGAUGGAAUUCCGCGUGUAGCAGUGAAUGCGUAGAUAUGCGGAGGAACACCGAUGGCGAAGGCAAUCCCCUGGACCUGUACUGACGCUCAUGCACGAAAGCGUGGGGAGCAAACAGG